RNAcentral lists this long non-coding RNA (89 nucleotides) under Vombatus ursinus (common wombat). RNAcentral describes it as "lncRNA (ENSVURG00010017950.1)". Lineage: Eukaryota; Metazoa; Chordata; Mammalia; Diprotodontia; Vombatidae. The record is from RNAcentral.
CUUCAGAGUUCAUUAUAUGACUGAAACUGCUCCCUCCAGAGCUAAGGCCCAGCAAGCAAGCUAUGUCCUGAGGUUGGCAUGACAACAAU